This 486-nucleotide ribosomal RNA is filed under the name uncultured bacterium. Its description in RNAcentral is "bacterial SSU rRNA". It matches the Rfam family "Bacterial small subunit ribosomal RNA", at positions 28 to 507 of the family's 1533-position model. The record is from RNAcentral.
GAUGAACGCUAGCGGGAGGCUUAACACAUGCAAGUCGAGGGGCAGCAUAGGGUAGCAAUACUCUGAUGGCGACCGGCAAACGGGUGAGUAACGCGUAUGCAACCUACCCUGUACAGGGGGAUAACCCGGAGAAAUUCGGACUAAUAUCCCGUAAUAAUAUCCGGAGGCAUCUUUGGAUAUUUAAAGUUCCGACGGUACGGGAUGGGCAUGCGUAACAUUAACUGGUUGGUAAGGUAACGGCUUACCAAGGCUAUGAUGUUUAGGGGUCCUGAGAGGGUGGUCCCCCACACUGGUACUGAGACACGGACCAGACUCCUACGGGAGGCAGCAGUGAGGAAUAUUGGUCAAUGGGCCAAGCCUGAACCAGCCCAUCCCGCGUGCAGGAAGACGGCCCUAUGGGUUGUAAACUGCUUUUCCAGGGAGAGAAACUUACGCACGUGUUGCGUGACUGACGGUACCUGGGAAUAAGCAUCGGCUAACUCCGUG